AUUAUUUUUUUUAAUUUUAUUUUAUUUUUAAACUUUACAAUAUUGUAUUAGUUUUGCCAAAUAUUGAAAUGAAUCCGCCACAGGUAUACCUGUGUUCCCCACCCUGAACCCUCCUCCCUCCUCCCUCCCCAUACCCUCCCUCUGGGUCAUCUUAUGAUCCCUCAUAAAGUUCCUUCUGGAACAAGAUUCCCUUUUCUCCUCAAGCCAGCCCCCAGUAGGUUCACCUUUACAGUUUCUGGAACUAGAACAAGAGGAUGAGUGAGAAGCAAGUAACCAGUUGGGAGCUGUGGAUUGGCAAAUUUCAAGAUGAAAAUGGUGUAUUAAUUUUCUCUCUGACUAUGUGUGGACAUCCUAAGGAUGCCCUGGGAUCUUUUGAAUGAGAUUUUGGAUCACAUGUCUAUCAGCAGACCAGAAAACAAAUGACAAAUGACAAAAAUUAUGACAAUAAAAAUAGGUAAGUCCAUAAGGAUAAUCCUCUU
This 479-nucleotide long non-coding RNA is filed under the name Bos indicus x Bos taurus (hybrid cattle). RNAcentral describes it as "lncRNA (ENSBIXG00000002900.1)". Lineage: Eukaryota; Metazoa; Chordata; Mammalia; Artiodactyla; Bovidae. The record is from RNAcentral.